RNAcentral lists this ribosomal RNA (494 nucleotides) under uncultured bacterium. RNAcentral's name for it is "partial 16S ribosomal RNA". It matches the Rfam family "Bacterial small subunit ribosomal RNA", at positions 28 to 507 of the family's 1533-position model. The record is from RNAcentral.
GACGAACGCUGGCGGCGUGCUUAACACAUGCAAGUCGAACGGUGAAGCGCCUUCCUUUUUGGUGGGUGUGGAUGAGUGGCGAACGGGUGAGUAACACGUGAGUAACCUGCCCCCUUCUUCUGGAUAACCGCAUGAAAGUGUGGCUAAUACGGGAUAUUCUGGGUCUGUCGCAUGAUGGGUCUGGGAAAGAUAUUGUUUCGGUGGGGGAUGGGCUCGCGGCCUAUCAGCUUGUUGGUGGGGUGAUGGCCUACCAAGGCGGUGACGGGUAGCCGGCCUGAGAGGGUGGACGGUCACACUGGGACUGAGACACGGCGCAGACUCCUACGGGAGGCAGCAGUGGGGAAUAUUGCACAAUGGGCGCAAGCCUGAUGCAGCGACGCCGCGUGAGGGAUGGAGGCCUUCGGGUUGUGAACCUCUUUCGCCAGUGAAGCAGGCCUGCCUCGUUUGUGGGUGGGUUGACGGUAGCUGGAUAAGAAGCGCCGGCUAACUACGUG